RNAcentral lists this ribosomal RNA (484 nucleotides) under uncultured bacterium. Its description in RNAcentral is "partial 16S ribosomal RNA". It matches the Rfam family "Bacterial small subunit ribosomal RNA", at positions 30 to 507 of the family's 1533-position model. The record is from RNAcentral.
AUUGAACGCUGGCGGCAGGCCUAACACAUGCAAGUCGAGCGGAUGAAGGGAGCUUGCUCCUGGAUUCAGCGGCGGACGGGUGAGUAAUGCCUAGGAAUCUGCCUGGUAGUGGGGGAUAACGUCCGGAAACGGGCGCUAAUACCGCAUACGUCCUUAGGGAGAAAGUGGUGGAUCUUCGGACCUCACGCUAUCAGAUGAGCCUAGGUCGGAUUAGCUAGUUGGUGGGGUAAAGGCCUACCAAGGCGACGAUCCGUAACUGGUCUGAGAGGAUGAUCAGUCACACUGGAACUGAGACACGGUCCAGACUCCUACGGGAGGCAGCAGUGGGGAAUAUUGGACAAUGGGCGAAAGCCUGAUCCAGCCAUGCCGCGUGUGUGAAGAAGGUCUUCGGAUUGUAAAGCACUUUAAGUUGGGAGGAAGGGAAGUAAGUGAAUACCUUGAUGUUUUGACGUUACCAACAGAAUAAGCACCGGCUAACUUCGUG